CUUUAGUGAGCAAACCAAGGAUCAGACUGUCCGUGUUUUACUAUGAACAAAGCUGUCACUGAGCUUCAUCGGUGAAGGUUAAUUGUCCCCUGAGAUUAUCAGAGACAGGUGGCUAGUUGGAAAAGAAUAAGAAGAAAAUAUUUGCAUGAGCUGCCUCAAUGAGCAAGAGAAAGAGAAGAGAUUUCAGAGUGAUGAAGACCCCCAACCUUUUUCUUCACAUUUUGACAAUGCCGACAAACAACACAACACUGACAAUGAACAUGGGAUACUUAUUUCUUGCAGUAACCACUUGGGUGGUCAAUUGUGCAGCACAUCCUAUCUUGAUCCAGCCUUCCUCACUGUCUGCGUCACUAGGAGAAACUGUCCGUCUGUCCUGCAUGCUGAAUUUGAACUACUGCAUUGGUAAUAGA
Long non-coding RNA from Protopterus annectens (West African lungfish), 410 nucleotides. RefSeq lists it as uncharacterized. The record is from RefSeq and is a predicted model, not a curated record. The transcript has 3 exons. Lineage: Eukaryota; Metazoa; Chordata; Ceratodontiformes; Protopteridae.